UACGUAGGGUGCAAGCGUUACUCGGACUUACUGGGCGUAAAGCGUGCGCAGGCGGUUUUGUAAGUCUGACGUGAAAUCCCCGGGCUCAACCUGGGAAUUGCGUUGGAGACUGCAAGGCUAGAAUCUGGCAGAGGGGGGUAGAAUUCCACGUGUAGCAGUGAAAUGCGUAGAGAUGUGGAGGAACACCGAUGGCGAAGGCAGCCCCCUGGGUCAAGAUUGACGCUCAUGCACGAAAGCGUGGGGAGCAAACAGG
This 253-nucleotide ribosomal RNA is filed under the name uncultured bacterium. RNAcentral's name for it is "partial 16S ribosomal RNA". It matches the Rfam family "Bacterial small subunit ribosomal RNA", at positions 524 to 776 of the family's 1533-position model. The record is from RNAcentral.